This 459-nucleotide ribosomal RNA is filed under the name uncultured bacterium. RNAcentral's name for it is "partial 16S ribosomal RNA". It matches the Rfam family "Bacterial small subunit ribosomal RNA", at positions 338 to 795 of the family's 1533-position model. The record is from RNAcentral.
CCUACGGGAGGCUGCAGUGAGGAAUAUUGGUCAAUGGUCGGGAGCCUGAACCAGCCAAGCCGCGUGAAGGAAGAAGGUGCCGAGUGUCGUAAACUUCUUUUGUCGGGGAACAAAGGGCGCCACGUGUGGCCUUGUGAGUGUACCCGACGAAAAAGCAUCGGCUAACUCCGUGCCAGCAGCCGCGGUAAUACGGAGGAUGCGAGCGUUAUCCGGAUUUAUUGGGUUUAAAGGGUGCGCAGGCGGUCUGUAAAGUCAGCGGUAAAAGCCCGGGGCUCAACCCCGGCGCGCCGUUGAAACUGGCGGACUAGAGUGGGCGAGAAGUACGCGGAAUGCGCGGUGUAGCGGUGAAAUGCAUAGAUAUCGCGCAGAACUCCGAUUGCGAAGGCAGCGUGCCGGCGCCAGACUGACGCUGAGGCACGAAAGCGUGGGUAUCGAACAGGAUUAGAUACCCGGGUAGUC